UUGUAUCUAAAUAUGGAUGAAUGUAUGUG
Molecule: non-coding RNA, 29 nt
Filed under: Mus musculus (house mouse)
Lineage: Eukaryota; Metazoa; Chordata; Mammalia; Rodentia; Muridae
Source: RNAcentral